Molecule: long non-coding RNA, 579 nt
Organism: Homo sapiens (human)
Lineage: Eukaryota; Metazoa; Chordata; Mammalia; Primates; Hominidae
Gene: PAFAH1B2P2
Product: PAFAH1B2 pseudogene 2
Source: Ensembl
UUUUUAUUUUCCUCUCACAGACAUCAGGAUUAGGUUAAAACUUUCAAUGAAAGACAUGAAGAUGAAAUAGCCAUGAGGUCUCCGUUUCAAAUUGCAGAGGAGAAAAUCUGGUUGACCCUCCUGUACCUCUUCCCUUAUGUUUGAAUUUGGAGAAAAAUCGCAAGAAUCUCUCCGGGGAGGGAGAUUACAGGGAUUGGGCAUGGGAGAGGCGGGGAGGACUCACCAAUUUUAAAGAUAUGAAGACUGGAGUGAGCCCUCAUCAGCCAGAUGGACUGUUUCAUCUCUUCCGAAAUAGAAACCUCCAACCUACUCAGCCCUUUUGAGGCCAAAAAGAUACCCAUGGGCCCUCAAAAACCAACAGUCUCUACACCAGACUAAAACAAGUUUCCUAAAAGCAUUUUCCUUUUGGGCUCAUUUUUAUUACCUCUCCAUCCCAUGGUCCGAAGAUAAGAAUAAUUUGCAUAUAACAGUCAGUAUUAAAAUUUUUGAUUUGCAAUGGAUCAAUGAAUGACGAGGUCAGCCCAUCUGUGACUGAACCAAUCAAUGAAUGAGAAAUGGGUAGGUGAUAUUUACUGUCUU